Molecule: ribosomal RNA, 506 nt
Filed under: uncultured bacterium
Lineage: Bacteria
Description: partial 16S ribosomal RNA
Rfam family: Bacterial small subunit ribosomal RNA
Source: RNAcentral
GAUGAACGCUAGCUAUAGGCUUAACACAUGCAAGUCGAGGGGUAACGAGAGGAAAGCUUGCUUUCCUUGUCGACGACCGGCGCACGGGUGAGUAACGCGUAUCCAACCUGCCCCCAACUAGGGAAUAACCUUGCGAAAGUAAGACUAAUACCCUAUAAUUUCCUCAGAUGUCAUCUGACGAGGAAUAAAGAUUUAUCGGUUGUGGAUGGGGAUGCGUCUGAUUAGCUUGUUGGCGGGGUAACGGCCCACCAAGGCAACGAUCAGUAGGGGUUCAGAGAGGAAGGUCCCCAACAUUGGAACUCAGACACGGUCCAAACUCCUACGGGAGGCAGCAGUGAGGAAUAUUGGUCAAUGGGCGGAAGCCUGAACCAGCCAAGUAGCGUGCAGGAUGACGGCCCUAUGGGUUGUAAACUGCUUUUAUACAGGAAUAAAGUUAGCCACGUGUGGUUAUUUGUAGGUACUGUAUGAAUAAGGACCGGCUAAUUCCGUGCCAGCCGCCGCAGUAA